Molecule: long non-coding RNA, 262 nt
Organism: Ananas comosus (pineapple)
Lineage: Eukaryota; Viridiplantae; Streptophyta; Magnoliopsida; Poales; Bromeliaceae
Exons: 2
Source: RefSeq, a predicted model, not a curated record
GAGUCUCCUCUUUCAUUGCACCUGUUCUUCGUUGAACCGGAGACGGCCGGCGGGGCCGGGUCAGCGGAUCGGGCCGGCUAACGUUAGGUCCAAUUUGGAAGGGUUCAAUGCGCUGGUCUGGAUCAAACAGCUCAUGUUCACGGAGCGGGGGAAGAGGCACUUACGAGGAGUAUAGCGUUCAUUUUUACUACCAAUAGUGCUAUAGUGACUGUAGCAGAAGCGAUGAAUAAUUAAUGAUUAAAUAAACAUUAUCUCUAAGAAA